This 270-nucleotide ribosomal RNA is filed under the name uncultured archaeon. RNAcentral's name for it is "partial 16S ribosomal RNA". It matches the Rfam family "Archaeal small subunit ribosomal RNA", at positions 477 to 747 of the family's 1478-position model. The record is from RNAcentral.
CUGCAGCCCGAGUGGUGAUCGAUUUUAUUGAGCCUAAAGCGUCCGUAGCCGGACUAGUAAACCCUUGGGUAAAUUGGGCAGCUUAACUGUCCGAAUUCCGAGGGGACUGCUAGUCUUGGGACCGGGAGAGGUCAGAGGUACUCAAGGGGUAGGGGCUAAAUCCUGUAAUCCUUUGGGGACCACCAGUGGCGAAGGCGUCUGACUAGAACGGAUCCGACGGUAAGGGAUGAAACCCUGGGGCGCGAACCGGAUUAGAUACCCGAGUAGUCC